GAUGAACGCUGGCGGCGUGCCUAACACAUGCAAGUCGAGCGAUUCUYUUYGGAGAAGAGCGGCGGACGGGUGAGUAACGCGUGGGUAACCUACCCUGUACACACGGAUAACAUACCGAAAGGUAUGMUAAUACGGGAUGAUAUAUAGAAAUCGCAUGAUUUUUAUAUCAAAGAUUUAUCGGUACAGGAUGGACCCGCGUMUGAUUAGCUUGUUGGCGGGGUAMCGGCCCACCAAGGCGACGAUCAGUAGCCGACCUGAGAGGGUGAUCGGCCACAUUGGAACUGAGACACGGUCCAAACUCCUACGGGAGGCAGCAGUGGGGAAUAUUGCACAAUGGGCGCAAGCCUGAUGCAGCAACGCCGCGUGAGCGAUGAAGGCCUUCGGGUCGUAAAGCUCUGUCCUCAAGGAAGAUAAUGACGGUACUGAGWGAGCCCCMAAAAAUCCCCG
Molecule: ribosomal RNA, 447 nt
Filed under: uncultured bacterium
Lineage: Bacteria
Description: bacterial SSU rRNA
Rfam family: Bacterial small subunit ribosomal RNA
Source: RNAcentral